Molecule: ribosomal RNA, 160 nt
Filed under: uncultured bacterium
Lineage: Bacteria
Description: partial 16S ribosomal RNA
Rfam family: Bacterial small subunit ribosomal RNA
Source: RNAcentral
UGAGGAAUAUUGGUCAAUGGACGGAAGUCUGAACCAGCCAUGCCGCGUGUGUGAAGAAGGUCUUCGGAUUGUAAAGCACUUUAAGUUGGGAGGAAGGGCAGUAAGUUAAUACCUUGCUGCUUUGACGUUACCGACAGAAUAAGCACCGGCUAACUCUGUG